Molecule: ribosomal RNA, 419 nt
Filed under: bacterium Ellin353
Lineage: Bacteria; Pseudomonadati; Pseudomonadota; Alphaproteobacteria
Description: partial 16S ribosomal RNA
Rfam family: Bacterial small subunit ribosomal RNA
Source: RNAcentral
AACGAACGCUGGCGGCAGGCUUAACACAUGCAAGUCGAGCGCAUCCUUCGGGGUGARCGGCAGACGGGUGAGUAACGCGUGGGRAUGUGCCUUSAGGUGGGGAAUAACUGUGGGAAACUACAGCUAAUACCGCAUAAGCCCUUCGGGGGAAAGAUUUAUCGCCUUUAGAGCAACCCGCGUCANAUUAGCUAGUUGGUAGGGUAAUGGCCUACCAAGGCGACGAUCUGUASCUGGUSUGAGAGGAUGRCCASCCACUCUGGGRSUGAGACACGGCCCAGACUCYUACGGGAGGCAGCAGUGGGGAAUAUUGGACAAUGGGCGCAAGCCUGAUCCAGCCAUGCCGCGUGAGUGAUGACGGCCUUAGGGUUGUAAAGCUCUUUUAACAGGGACGAUAAUGACGGUACCUGUAGAAUAAGCCC